This 468-nucleotide ribosomal RNA is filed under the name uncultured bacterium. Its description in RNAcentral is "partial 16S ribosomal RNA". It matches the Rfam family "Bacterial small subunit ribosomal RNA", at positions 28 to 507 of the family's 1533-position model. The record is from RNAcentral.
GACGAACGCUGGCGGCGUGCUUAACACAUGCAAGUCGAACGGAAAGGCCCUGCUUUUGUGGGGUGCUCGAGUGGCGAACGGGUGAGUAACACGUGAGUAACCUGCCCUUGACUUUGGGAUAACUUCAGGAAACUGGGGCUAAUAACGGAUAGGAGCUCCUGCUGCAUGGUGGGGGUUGGAAAGUUUCGGCGGUUGGGGAUGGACUCGCGGCUUAUCAGCUUGUUGGUGGGGUAGUGGCUUACCAAGGCUUUGACGGGUAGCCGGCAUGAGAGGGUGACCGGCCACAUUGGGACAGAGAUACGGCCCAGACUCCUACGGGAGGCAGCAGUGGGGAAUAUUGCACAAUGGGCGGAAGCCUGAUGCAGCAACGCCGCGUGCGGGAUGACGGCCUUCGGGUUGUAAACCGCUUUCGCCUGUGACGAAGCGUGAGUGACGGUAAUGGGUAAAGAAGCACCGGCUAACUACGUG